AAUGAACGCUGGCGGCGUGCCUAAUACAUGCAAGUCGAGCGAAGCGGGGACGGGUGAGUAACACGUGGAUAACCUCCUCUAAGACUGGGAUAACUUCGGGAAACCGGAACUAAACCGGAUACUUAUCGAUGGAUCCGAGCUCCAUUAGCUAGUUGGUAAGGUAACGGCUUACCAAGGCAACGAGGCAUAGCCGACCUGGGAGGGUGAUCGGCCACACUGGAACGGAGACACGGUCCAGAAUCCUACGGGAGGCAGCAGUAGGGAAUCUUCCGCAAUGGGCGAAAGCCUGACGGAGCAAAGCCGCGUGAGUGAGGAAGGUCUUCGGAUCGUAAAACACUGUUAGUAGGGAAGCGGUACCUAAUCAGAAAGCCCCGGCUAACUACGUGCCAGCAGCCGCGGUAAUAC
Molecule: ribosomal RNA, 405 nt
Filed under: uncultured bacterium
Lineage: Bacteria
Description: partial 16S ribosomal RNA
Rfam family: Bacterial small subunit ribosomal RNA
Source: RNAcentral